CCUACGGGGGGCAGCAGUGAGGAAUAUUGGUCAAUGGGCGGAAGCCUGAACCAGCCAAGUCGCGUGAGGGAUUAAGGCCCUGCGGGUCGUAAACCUCUUUUGCCGGGGAGCAGUGGUCCGGACGCGUCCGGGCCGGGAGAGUACCCGGAGAAAAAGCAUCGGCUAACUCCGUGCCAGCAGCCGCGGUAAUACGGAGGAUGCGAGCGUUAUCCGGAUUUAUUGGGUUUAAAGGGUGCGUAGGCGGGCAUUUAAGCCGGCGGUCAAAUGUCGGGGCUCAACCCCGGCCUGCCGUCGGAACUGGGUGCCUUGAGUGGGCGAGAAGUAUGCGGAAUGCGUGGUGUAGCGGUGAAAUGCAUAGAUAUCACGCAGAACCCCGAUUGCGAAGGCAGCAUACCGGCGCCCGACUGACGCUGAGGCACGAAAGUGCGGGUAUCGAACAGGA
This 442-nucleotide ribosomal RNA is filed under the name uncultured bacterium. RNAcentral describes it as "bacterial SSU rRNA". It matches the Rfam family "Bacterial small subunit ribosomal RNA", at positions 338 to 777 of the family's 1533-position model. The record is from RNAcentral.